GAAAUUAUUGAUCUGUCUUGAUAUGAUGUACUAACAUGUUUAAUCUGAUUUCUCUGAGGCUUGAUGAAUAGAUUUUGUUCUGUUUGACUGCUGAAAUUUUAGGCACGUAGAUAGCUGUAUUGCAUAUUUAGUUAUUGCAUUGUGUUUUAUUGCUUGGGGACAAACAAUUGGUUAAGUUUGGGGGUAUUUGAUGAGUAGGUUUUAU
Molecule: long non-coding RNA, 205 nt
Filed under: Panax ginseng (ginseng)
Lineage: Eukaryota; Viridiplantae; Streptophyta; Magnoliopsida; Apiales; Araliaceae
Description: long non-coding RNA (PGIN_LNC014989)
Source: RNAcentral